This 806-nucleotide ribosomal RNA is filed under the name uncultured bacterium. RNAcentral describes it as "bacterial SSU rRNA". The stretch from base 182 to 806 matches the Rfam family "Bacterial small subunit ribosomal RNA", at positions 875 to 1499 of the family's 1533-position model. RNAcentral also lists the same sequence under 1 other name. The record is from RNAcentral.
CCGCCUCGCACCACCCCCUGGCGCAAAGCCCGGCCCGGCGCCCCAACGACGCGGAGGGGGAAAAGGUAGGGGGGCAACCACGCUCGAAUCCGCUCUUGUCCCAGCCCACAAUAUCGAAUGCUCCCUUACGACAACCCCAUCCCCCCGUGCCAGAGGGAAAGGGUUAAGCAUUCCCGCCGGCGGGGACCGUCCCACCGGCCCACACUUCAAGGCAAUGACCGGGGGCCCCCACAAGCGGGGGAGGCAUGUGGUUCAAUUCGACGCAACGGGAAGACCCUUACCUGGGCUGGAAGCCCAGUGGAAUGAGGUGGAAACAUUUCAGCCCGCAAGGCCCGCUGCGGAGGUGCUGCAUGGCUGUCGUCAGCUCGUGUCGUGAGAAUGUUGGGUUAAGUCCCGCAACGAGGGCAACCCUUAUGGUCAGUUGCCACCGGGUCAAGCCGGGCACUCUGGCGAAACCGCCUCGGAUAACGGGGAGGAAGGUGGGGAUGACGUCAAGUCCUCAUGGCCUUUAUGUCCAGGGCUACACACGUGCUACAAUGGUCGGUACAAACCGUCGCAAACCCGCGAGGGGGAGCUAAUCGGAAAAAGCCGGCCUCAGUUCGGAUUGGAGUCUGCAACUCGACUCCAUGAAGCUGGAAUCGCUAGUAAUCGCAGAUCAGAACGCUGCGGUGAAUACGUUCCCGGGCCUUGUACACACCGCCCGUCACAUCACGAAAGUGGACCAUACUAGAAGCCGGUGGGCUAACCGCAAGGAAGCAGCCGUCCAAGGUAUAGUUCAUGAUUGGGGUGAAGUCGUAACAAGGUAA